This 270-nucleotide ribosomal RNA is filed under the name uncultured prokaryote. RNAcentral describes it as "partial 16S ribosomal RNA". It matches the Rfam family "Bacterial small subunit ribosomal RNA", at positions 506 to 776 of the family's 1533-position model. The record is from RNAcentral.
UGCCAGAGCCGCGGUAAUACGUAGGGACCAAGCGUUGUUCGGAUUUACUGGGCGUAAAGGGCGCGUAGGCGGCGUGACAAGUCACUUGUGAAAUCUCUGAGCUUAACUCAGAACGGCCAAGUGAAACUGUUGUGCUAGAGUGCAGAAGGGGCAAUCGGAAUUCUUGGUGUAGCGGUGAAAUGCGUAGAUAUCAAGAGGAACACCUGAGGUGAAGACGGGUUGCUGGGCUGACACUGACGCUGAGGCGCGAAAGCCAGGGGAGCAAACGGG